RNAcentral lists this small RNA (1953 nucleotides) under Arabidopsis thaliana (thale cress). RNAcentral describes it as "ATSL037770". The record is from RNAcentral. Lineage: Eukaryota; Viridiplantae; Streptophyta; Magnoliopsida; Brassicales; Brassicaceae.
AGGAUUAUCCAUUUGAAAUCAUGUGUGAUGCAUCAGAUUACGCAGUAGGAGCUGUUCUAGGCCAGAAAAUAGACAAGAAGCUUCAUGUCAUAUAUUACGCCAGCCGAACGUUGGAUGACGCUCAGGGAAGAUAUGCAACAACUGAGAAGGAGCUUCUAGCUGUUGUAUUCGCAUUUGAGAAGUUCAGAAGCUAUUUGGUUGGAUCAAAGGUAACUGUCUACACAGACCAUGCAGCUUUGAGGCAUCUGUAUGCCAAGAAGGAUACUAAACCAAGACUGUUAAGAUGGAUACUUUUAUUGCAAGAGUUUGACAUGGAGAUAGUAGAUAAGAAAGGCAUUGAAAAUGGCGCAGCGGACCAUCUGUCGAGGAUGAGAAUUGAAGAACCACUUCCGAUAGACGAUUCAAUGCCAGAAGAACAGCUCAUGGUUGUAGAGUUCUUCGGAAAAAGCUACAGUGGGAAAGAGUUCCACCAACUGAGUGCUGUUGAAGGAGAAUCUCCAUGGUAUGCUGAUCACGUCAAUUACUUGGCAUGCGGAGUAGAGCCUCCCAACCUGACAAGUUAUGAAAGGAAGAAGUUUUUCAGAGACAUACACCAUUACUACUGGGAUGAGCCUUAUCUUUACACUCUCUGUAAAGAUAAGAUCUACAGGAGAUGUGUCUCAGAAGAUGAAGCGGAAGGUAUCCUGCUGCAUUGCCAUGGCUCAGCAUAUGGUGGUCACUUCGCGACGUUCAAGACAGUGUCCAAGAUUCUUCAAGCAGGCUUUUGGUGGCCAACAAUGUUUAAGGAUGCUCAGGAGUUUGUUUCAAAGUGUGAUUCAUGCCAGAGAAAAGGCAACAUCAGUAAAAGAAAAGAGAUGCCUCAGAAUCCAAUCUUGGAAGUUGAGAUCUUUGAUGUAUGGGGGAUUGAUUUUAUGGGUCCAUUCCCAUCUUCAUACGGUAAUAAAUAUAUACUGGUCGCCGUAGACUACGUAUCAAAGUGGGUCGAAGCUAUUGCUAGUCCUACCAACGAUGCAAAAGUUGUGCUGAAGUUGUUCAAAACCAUAAUCUUCCCAAGAUUUGGAGUUCCCAGGGUAGUAAUCAGUGAUGGCGGAAAGCAUUUCAUCAACAAGGUUUUUGAGAACCUCUUGAAGAAGCAUGGGGUAAAGCACAAGGUAGCCACUCCUUAUCAUCCACAGACAAGCGGGCAGGUUGAGAUCUCCAAUAGGGAGAUAAAAACAAUUCUGGAAAAGACUGUUGGGAUUACAAGGAAAGACUGGUCUGCAAAGCUAGAUGAUGCAUUAUGGGCUUACAGGACAGCUUUCAAGACCCCCAUAGGUACAACUCCUUUCAAUCUUCUCUAUGGAAAAUCAUGUCAUCUACCCGUUGAGCUCGAGUACAAAGCAAUGUGGGCGGUAAAACUUCUGAACUUUGACAUAAAAACUGCUGAGGAGAAGCGAUUGAUCCAACUCAGUGACCUCGAUGAGAUCCGUCUAGAAGCUUAUGAAAGUUCUAAAAUCUAUAAGGAGAGAACCAAGCUUUUCCAUGACAAGAAGAUCAUCACUAAGGAUUUCCAGGUUGGUGAUCAGGUGCUGCUAUUCAACUCUCGCUUGAAACUCUUUCCAGGAAAACUUAAAUCCAGAUGGUCUGGCCCCUUCUGCAUCACUGAGGUCCGUCCUUAUGGAGCAGUCACUCUAGCUGGUAAGAGUGGAGAUUUUACAGUAAAUGGUCAAAGGCUCAAGAAAUACUUAGCGGACCAAAUCCUUCCAGAGGUGACAUCGGUUCAUCUCCAGGAGCUUCUUGAUGAUUAAAGGAGUAAAGGAGUCAAGCUAAUGACUUUAAACAAGCUCACUUGGGAGGAAGUCCCAUGAAUAUCCUUGUAAAUAAUUUUUACCUUCUUGAUAUUUUUGAUUUGUUUUAGUUGUGUUUGUGGUUUUCAGAGACAAGAGAACAACGCGGAGAUAGAGUAAAAAUUUU